CCAGACUCCUACGGGAGGCAGCAGUAGGGAAUCUUCGGCAAUGGACGAAAGUCUGACCGAGCAACGCCGCGUGAGUGAAGAAGGUUUUCGGAUCGUAAGACUCUGUUGGUAGAGAAGAACGUUGGUGAGAGUGGAAAGCUCAUCAAGUGACGGUAACUACCCAGAAAGGGACGGCUAACUACGUGCCAGCAGCCGCGGUAAUACGUAGGUCCCGAGCGUUGUCCGGAUUUAUUGGGCGUAAAGCGAGCGCAGGUGGUUUAUUAAGUCUGGUGUAAAAGGCAGUGGCUCAACCAUUGUAUGCAUUGGAAACUGGUAGACUUGAGUGCAGGAGAGGAGAGUGGAAUUCCAUGUGUAGCGGUGAAGUGCGUAGAUAUAUGGAGGAACACCGGUGGCGAAAGCGGCUCUCUGGCCUGUAACUGACACUGAGGCUCGAAAGCGUGGGGAGCAAACAGGAUUAGAUACCCUGGUGGUCCACGCCGUAAACGAUGAGUGCUAGAUGUAGGGAGCUAUAAGUUCUCUGUAUCGCAGCUAACGCAAUAAGCACUCCGCCUGGGGAGUACGACCGCAAGGUUGAAACUCAAAGGAAUUGACGGGGGCCCGCCAAG
Molecule: ribosomal RNA, 605 nt
Filed under: uncultured bacterium
Lineage: Bacteria
Description: bacterial SSU rRNA
Rfam family: Bacterial small subunit ribosomal RNA
Source: RNAcentral